Molecule: long non-coding RNA, 1750 nt
Filed under: Rattus norvegicus (Norway rat)
Lineage: Eukaryota; Metazoa; Chordata; Mammalia; Rodentia; Muridae
Description: long non-coding RNA NONRATT027198
Source: RNAcentral
GGUUAGAAUUCUGACACCAGAAGGUCAGACAUGGUGGUGGCACAGGCAUGCAAUCCUAGCACUGGAGCUGAGGCAGGAGGAUGGAGUUCCUGGACAGCCUAGGCUACCUAGCAAAACCCUGUCUCAGAGUGACAAAGGACAGCAGAAGUACCCAGAAUCCUCCUGGGGUUGACAGUUUGGCUUCUGGGGCCUUCUUUAAUUUUCUUGGGAACAUGUCUAUCCUUACGCAACACAGAGUGACAAGGAGCUACUGGAAUUCAAAUGCAGCUGUGUUCUGAGGAAACUUAGAUGUCAGUCUUCAAGACACUAAGAAAAGAGUGCUGCUUGCUUUGUGUCCCUGGGAGGCGGCAUUCCAGUUUCUUCAGUGUCUGUCCUGCCUCCUGGGGUCUUGCCGGCACCCCGCCUGCAUACAGGGGGCAGCCCAGGCUCCCCCCCGCCAAAGAUUAUUACAACACAGGCAAAAAAUAAAUAAGCUAGGUGUGGUGGCAGCCUGGUCUACAUUGCAAAGUUUAGGACAGCCAGGGCUACAUAGUGAGACCCUGUCUUAAACAUUUUUUUUUUCAUUAAGACAUCCCAGCCCAUGUAUUUAGUUGGUCCAGUCUAUUUCUACAUAUAUCCAUAUAUUGACAGUGUCAUAAGUGAUUUUAAAUUUCUGGCCAUAACUCUAGAUGAUUUGAGUUUUAGGUCGUUUUUCAUGUUGGCUGUCCUUUCCCACUUUAAAAUCUUUGUGUCUUAACAUCACACAGCUUCCCUGUUUGUUCCCUCACCUCUGUAUCAUUAAAUAGGACUGUCCCUGGACACAGCCACCCUAAAAGAUAAAUAGAACACUCAAAAGGACUUGAAUUCGCAGGCACCAUGGGUUCACACGUGCUUCACAGAAGUUGCUGACCCUGGCACGGCAGGUCCUGCCUCAUGUGGCUGGGCCUGAAGAAGGCCUGGGGGCUGGAGACCACCUAUAAAUAUCUUGAGCUUGAACAAAAGUAGCCUUUUAGGGCAUCUGCAUUAGCCCUUCCAGGGAGGUAGCCAGAGUGCUGCCCUGUCCCUCUUAGGUGAGAAGUGGUGUAUCUAAAAGGUUUUCACUGAAUAAAUACUGACACAAACCUCCAAACCCUUCUCUGAGCCCCUGGGACAGCCACUGGCCACUGUUUGAACACCACACAAGUUAAGUGAUUUGAUGGCUUGUGGCUGGCGUGGAGAUCUGAGCUCUGUGACAGGUAGAGCCCCACAAAUGGCGGAAGCCAUGGAGUUUGGACAGUUUAUCUGAUUCCAAGGUGAUUUCAGGCCAUGAGCUGUCAAUAGGAUUUUUUUUUUUUUUUGGUCUGUUUUUGAGACAGGGUCUUCUGUAGCCCAGGCUGGCUUCAAACUUACUGUACAUCAGAGGGUGAUCUUGAACUAAUGAACCUCCUUCCACCUCCAUGUGCUGGCAUUAACAGGUUUCUACCACCCUGCUGGCUUUCUGCUGUGCUAGGAAUAAAACCCAGGACUUUGUGCUACUGGGCAAGCACUCUUAUCGACUGGGUGCACCCCUCAGCUCUUUCUUACUUUCUUUUGACCUCAGCCCCUUCCUUUGUAGGUCAGGAAACUUAGAUGCAAAAUUAUUGUAUGAGAAUUUACAUAAAUGGUUUUUUUUUGCUGCUUCAAAACUUGUGAUUUCUAUAAAAACCAUUUCAAUGAAGACAUGAGGUAGCACACAUCGAAUGUGCUAAUAUGCAAAUUUUGAGUGGCUUUCCAUGAACACCUGUAUCCAACA